Molecule: long non-coding RNA, 1013 nt
Organism: Sarcophilus harrisii (Tasmanian devil)
Lineage: Eukaryota; Metazoa; Chordata; Mammalia; Dasyuromorphia; Dasyuridae
Exons: 3
Source: RefSeq, a predicted model, not a curated record
AGCGAUUUGCUUCUCUAUUGGAAAUUCCAGUUCUAAGAAUACUGAUUUACAACUUCAAUCAUCAACUGACAAAUACAGGCCUGCUAAGUGAGAGCCAAGCCAUAACAGCUCUCACUCCUACCACAGAGUAAACCCAGACCUCUCCUCCUUCCCUUCAACAAGUGAAGACUAUCUACUGAAACCUGAUUGCUUUCUGUUUUAUGGAGAAAGUCCUGACUUCUCAGACUUGCUGAAACCCUGAGAUCACUGGAAUCACCUGAUGACCUGCCCAUGGCACAAGAUCAUGAAUCAAGGGAGAUAGUAUCUAUCAAAACUGAAGAUGAAGGUCAUUGUAUCCUUGUUGUAUAGUCUUGCUGCAUUAGGACAAAAUAAACUUUUUUUUUUAUCAUUUGUUCAAUGACUUCUGAGCUUCUCAUUUUGUCCCAAAAUUGAACAUUAGCUAAAAGAGUGUUGGUGUGAGACCUGCCUCUUUCUGAAGUCCAUUGCAAAUGCCAGAGCUGGAGGAAACAAGACUACACAGUAGACAAAAAGAGACGACAUCUGUUUGGAUGUUACAAAGUAGCAUGGGAUUCCACCCUCAACCACGAUCAGCAAAGAAGAUAUACUGAGUUUUACAGAAUGUGGAUUUACAGACAACUAUAGAAAGCUACUACAGAGUUUCAAGUUUACUUCCUUUUUAAGAGAAACAUUUUGUUUGAUGGGUUGUGACUUAGCCAAGAUUCCCAGAGCAUGCUGCAUAAAGAGCUCUAAAGGACCUAAGCAAUUAUUCAUCACAGAGAAUGAAACUGAAGGCCACACAGCUAGUCAGUGGAAGAGCUAGAAAUAAGGAUGAGGUCAGAGGGUUUAAACCCUUCAUUUUAUAGACGAAGAAACUAAGGCACAUACAGAGGCUAAGUAAUUUACUUAGGGUCAUGUAGCUAUCAACAAGAAGAAACUUUUUGCUCUUUGAAGAUGUAUUUUUUUUAAGUUAAUUUUUUUACUUAGUCAAAAUCUGCCUUUUUUUCCCCUCUAAC